UGAUCCUGGCUCAGAACGUACGCUGGCGGCACGCCUAACACAUGCAAGUCGAACGAAGUAGCAAUACUUAGUGGCAGACGGGUGAGUAACAUGUAGGUAUCUGCUCUUUGGCCUGGAAUAACACGAGGAAACUUGUGCUAAUACCGGAUAAGUCUUUACGGAGAAAGCUUUAUGCACCAUUGGAUGAGCCUGCACUUGAUUAGUUUGUUGGUGGGGUAAUGGCCUACCAAGACUGUGAUCAAUAGCUGAUUUGAGAGGAUGAUCAGCCACAUUGGGACUGAGACACGGCCCAAACUCCUACGGGAGGCAGCAGUGGGGAAUCUUGCACAAUGGAGGAAACUCUGAUGCAGCGAUGCCGCGUGAGUGAAGAAGGCCCUUGGGUUGUAAAGCUCUUUCGUCGGGGAAGAAAAUGACUGUACCCGAAUAAGAAGGUCCGGCUAACUUCGUGCCAGCAGCCGCGGUAAUACGAAGGGACCUAGCGUAGUUCGGAAUUACUGGGCUUAAAGAGUUCGUAGGUGGUUGAAAAAGUUAGUGGUGAAAUCCCAGAGCUUAACUCUGGAACUGCCAUUAAAACUUUUCAGCUAGAGUAUGAUAGAGGAAAGCAGAAUUUCUAGUGUAGAGGUGAAAUUCGUAGAUAUUAGAAAGAAUACCAAUUGCGAAGGCAGCUUUCUGGAUCAUUACUGACACUGAGGAACGAAAGCAUGGGUAGCGAAGAGGAUUAGAUACCCUCGUAGU
RNAcentral lists this ribosomal RNA (735 nucleotides) under uncultured marine bacterium. RNAcentral's name for it is "bacterial SSU rRNA". It matches the Rfam family "Bacterial small subunit ribosomal RNA", at positions 14 to 794 of the family's 1533-position model. The record is from RNAcentral.